GAAACGUCACAGCUGUUCUGGUAGCUAAUCAUAUGUCACGUUACUUUAACCGCAGUUGCUAUCAUCAUAGGAGGAACUAUUAACUUUACAUGCCACACUGAAUAAUCGGUAAACACUCUGGUGAAAUCGGAAGAUUUAACUUCACAGAUAGGAGCGACAAAGUAAUUAAGGUAAACAUGACCAUGGAGGAACCAGGUGCUGAUAUAGAGGUGACUGUCAAAACUUUGGACUCCCAGAGCCAAAGUUACACUAGGCGGACAGUUGACAGUGAAAGAGUUCAAGGAGCACAUUGCCACUUCAGUGGACAAACAGGCUGAUCUACCAGGGCCGAGUUCUGCAGGAUGAGAGGACCCUGACAGAGUACAGGGUGGUCAUUGCGUUAUGAAAAACUGGACCUAUACUAUUCAGUCUGGAAAAGAUUAUUUGACAUCACAAGGCAGGCCUGCGCUGCAAACUCUAAGUGUGGAGUGGAGAGUGGCUGAACUCCACCCAGUGUAUCCUGCUGCAGGAGAUAGAGCGUCACUUGGACCCACUAGAGACACACGACACCCUCAACAGAUUCAUGCUUUACGAGCUUUGUCAUUUCAACAGGGUGUAGCACUGAGGUAAGAAUCUAAAUUAUUCAUUCACUUUUAUGUUUAUGCACUUAUCACUACUGCUCUUCCAUUUUGUGGUUAUUAGAUUACAUUUGCUCAUCCAUCGCCACAAUCUAUUACAGGCUGCCUGCUAUGUGUUGGAGUCUUCCAUCAAGAUCAUGCUAUGCAUCGAAAUAGGUUUCCUUUUGAGAGUUUAUUAUUAGCGUAUUGCCCUCUCUAACUUUGAUCUAACUCAGAAUCGUGGAACUAGUUGAAAUGAAGAUCUCUCCUCUCAUUUCCCAGGUGUAAUAGUAAAAACAAAUAAACAGAAAAAAAGAACAGCUACUCCAAGUCUAUUCCAAAGUCUCAGAAUGUUUAGAAUAGCACUAAUGCCCCAGGUGUAGACGUCUCAGCAUUUUCCAUCGCUCAUUUAAACUUGCAGUGACAUGGCACAUAGUUAUCAAGUUUUCGAAGAAGGGCCUAUUUCCAGGCAAAUAUUUCAAUUUCACGCAUUUCUCUUUUUGUGAGGGAUGACUUAACUGUCAUGGUUCACUGAACUGCAUUGUUCCACUCUUUUUGCCUACCUUCGUCAGUGGAGGCUGCUGAGUGGAGGAUGGCUCAUAAUAAUGUCUGGAAUGGAGUCAAUGGAAUGGUAUGAAACACCAUUGACUCCAUUCCAGCCAUUAUUAUGAGCAGUCCUCCCCUCAGCAGCCUCCACUGACCUCUAUCUAAAUACCAUUCAUCAAUUUAGAAAAGAAUCCAGGGCUAGUUUACCGGGGGAGUAGCCUCCCACGUAGUUACACUUACAGUGCAGGGGAAAUUCCCAUGAUGCUGCAGACGGAGCAGAGGCUCAGAGCACACUAUCGUUCACAACUAGAGUGGUCAUCCACAGUUCUCUUCAUUUGCUGUAAUGUAAUAAUACACAGGGUGACUGAAAGCAGAAAUGGUGAAAUUUGCUUUCACCUGUCCUUUUAUUUCUUGUAAGGUUAUUUCUUUGACCUUUCUUUGACCUGUUCGAAAUCAAGAAAAUAUGGGUAUAUGAAGGGGUAGACUAGGGAUUUGGGGUGCAUUGGAUACAUUGUACAUGUAAUUUCUAUGGCUUAAAUACUAUAACAUCUGAGACCAGACUCUCAUGUCUGGUCCUAUAAAAACACCUACAGUAUACACUACAUUGGCAAUAAACAUUUUCCUAUACAAGAGGGCAUUGAAAUAGAGAAUUCUUUGAGUUAAUAGUUUCUCAAAAUUGUCAAAGCCAUUGAUUGAUGUAAAAUAGCGAGACUUUCAUCUGCACUGUCAUCAGUAAUAAAGCACAAUGUCCAGUCAAUAUAUUUGACAUCAGGUGAUGUGGGUUUUUACUUGUAGCCUCAAGGAAAGGUCAAACAACAGUGGUGUCCUUUUGCCUAUGUAACCAUUUGAAUCCUAUGCUGUAGCUCUGGACUCAUAUUCAUAAAGCAGAGCAGGAGUGCUGAUCUAGGAUCAGUUUCGCCUUUCAGAUAAUGAAUAAGAUUACAUAGAGGGAACCUGGUCCUAUCAGCACUUCUACUCUGAGAAGCUUUAUGAAUAAGGGCCCUGGUUAGAAAUGAUUGACAUACCAGGGGUUGCUACCAGUGACGGGAGACAAUCGAUGGCUGAGUUAGACAAAGUCAACAUGUAGCUAACAAUCACCAUUCAAGUACCUCUGUGUUUCAACUAUGCCCGGGGCUAAUAUGAAUGUCAGAAAAUAUCCUGAAACCAUGAUGAAAUCCUUGUCUCUCUCCCUCCCCCUCUCCACUUAUCUCUCUGAAUUACGCACUUUCAAAGACUUGUGACGCACCAACAUGAAGACACUUGACUUCCCAGAUGAACUUUGGCAUGAAACAACUUGUUGACCGACAGAAAGUACAGAGUACAGUGUAAGAAUUGACUUCCUGUCUCUGUCAGAAUGACUUUAGAUUCUUACCUUUCUCUCACCUGUACGAUGUCCAUAAUAGGACAGCCUCAAUCUCAGCAGGACAUCUUUCAGUCUCAGUAGGACUUGUUUCAAUAAGUUAAUAUAGUCACAGUACGGCUGAGAUUCUAUUCCCAGUGUGUUCUUCAUUUCAGUAGUUUCUCAAAUAUCAAUGCCAUUUACAGUAUGUGAAAACAUAUCUUGUUAAGCCCAAGAAUAGGCAGUCAAACUCCCCCGCAUAAUAUUUCAUUACUGUCAAACGAUGGUUCUUCCAGCCCACCUGUAACACAGCUGAUUGUUGUUGAGCAGUUCGCUAGUUAUAUUGAUGAGCAGUUCACUAGUGAAACACUAAUCAGAUGGUAGUGCUGGGCAGAAACACACUUUAGUUCUCCCUGACCAGGAAUGGUGACCGCUGGUGUAUAAACCAAUAUUGAGCCGAACACAUUCUACGAUGCUGUACAGAUUGGCUGUACAGAUUGACAUCAAUGAUCUAAAACUGGACAGAAACUGAUCAAUGAUCUGAAACUGGACAGAAACUGAUCAAUGAUCUAAAACAGAACAGAAACAGAAUAGAAACUGAACAGAACAUGAUUAUAUUGAUGCCAGAAGGUUUCUGCUUUCAACAACAGCAGUGCCUGAACUUCUGCAUUUCAGGAAGAUGGGGAAAAGACUUAAAGGCUAACAUGAUUGAAGGCCUUGUCUGACAACUUUGCCUGCAUUGGGUAAGCACCUAAACCGUCUGUGGCAUGUCAAGAAAAGCACAGGUUGAUUGGGGAUGCCCCAUGGAGCAAGAAACCAAGAGCAGGAAAGUUACAUAGAAAUCUACCAACAAACGCUCUCUCCUUCUCUCACUUUCGCUCUCUCCACUUUCUAAAAGUUACUUUCAGUCCUGUUUAUGAAAUCAACAGUGUUCAACUUCACGCAUCUGCAUUUCCAUACCCUAUGUAUCAGGAAUCAAGGUAAGACCUAAGUGCAGACUGUGUGAAGUAACCAUGUUUAAUGACAGGUCAAGGCAGGCACGGGUCGAUAAUCCAGAGUGGGAGCCAAGGUACAGGCAGGCAGGCUCAGGGUAAGGGGCAGGCAGAUGGGCUCAGAGUCAGGACAGGCAAUGGUCAAAACCAGGAGGUUGAGAAAAGAGACUGCAGGAGCUGAGAAACAAAACGCUGGUUCACUUCACAAACAAGACGACCUGGCAGCAGACAAACAGAGAACACAGGUAUAAGUACCCAGGGGAUAAUGGGGAAGAUGGGCGAUACCUGGAGGGGGUGGACACCAGCACAAGGACCGGUGAAACAGAUCUGGGCAUGACACUGGCUAUUUCCAUGCCCUAUGUAUGUAAAGUCAGAUUGAGUCACUGUGGCUGCCAGCUGGUUUAUGAAACCAUGAAGAAAACUCCCUGUCAUUUGUUUGUACCUGUGGAACCCACUGACACUGACCUAUAAAUAUGUGUGGGAAAUCACAUGCCACCCACAUCUGUCAAUGUUGUGCCUGACUCAUCUGUAGCCUUACUAGCCUAUAGUUCCUCGCCACAGGGAUGAUAGUGGUUCUGUCACCUUCUCUUUGUCUGUACUGUCAUACCUGAAUAAAAGUAAAGAUACCUUAAUAGAAAAUGACUCAAGUAAAUGUGAAAGAGAACUGAAUUUUAAAACGGAUUCUAAAUGCAUUUCACAUGUUGAAUAUGUGAAGCUAUGGUAAAUUUGAUAGUUUGCAAAUGUGAUACGCAGACAAUGAAUGCAAUAUUCACCAUAUUGAAACAGCAUAUAUAAAUAUUGAAUUUGAAUAUUCAAUUAAGUUGUAAUAUCAUUUUAAAUCUGAAUGCAAUAUUCAUUCAAUUACUUUUUCAAAUCAUGAAAUACAAGUUAAAUUGAUUAAUUCUAUGAUUAAAUGUGUGCAUUACAAAUGUAAAAAUAUUGCAUUUGA
Molecule: long non-coding RNA, 4422 nt
Organism: Oncorhynchus keta (chum salmon)
Lineage: Eukaryota; Metazoa; Chordata; Actinopteri; Salmoniformes; Salmonidae
Exons: 6
Source: RefSeq, a predicted model, not a curated record